RNAcentral lists this ribosomal RNA (484 nucleotides) under uncultured bacterium. Its description in RNAcentral is "partial 16S ribosomal RNA". It matches the Rfam family "Bacterial small subunit ribosomal RNA", at positions 28 to 523 of the family's 1533-position model. The record is from RNAcentral.
GACGAACGCUGGCGGCGUGCUUAACACAUGCAAGUCGAACGAUGAACCCGGAGCUUGCUCCGGUGGAUUAGUGGCGAACGGGUGAGUAACACGUGAGUAACCUGCCCUUGACUCUGGGAUAACUGCGGGAAACUGUAGCUAAUACCGGAUACGACCCUCGGCGGCAUCGCCAGGGGGUGGAAAGAAUCUCGGUCAAGGAUGGACUCGCGGCCUGUCAGCUAGUUGGUGAGGUAACCGCUCACCAAGGCGACGACGGGUAGCCGGCCUGAGAGGGUGACCGGCCACACUGGGACUGAGACACGGCCCAGACUCCUACGGGAGGCAGCAGUGGGGAAUAUUGCACAAUGGGCGCAAGCCUGAUGCAGCAACGCCGCGUGAGGGAUGACGGCCUUCGGGUUGUAAACCUCUUUUAGUAGGGAAGAAGCGAAAGUGACGGUACCUGCAGAAAAAGCACCGGCUAACUACGUGCCAGCAGCCGCAGUAA